This is a long non-coding RNA of Dermochelys coriacea (leatherback sea turtle), 1341 nucleotides long. RefSeq lists it as uncharacterized. The transcript has 2 exons. The record is from RefSeq and is a predicted model, not a curated record. Lineage: Eukaryota; Metazoa; Chordata; Testudines; Dermochelyidae.
CCGCCCCGUGUGGCCAGCCAGCCCCGCCCCGCGGGACGAGCUGCUGGCGGCACGGCGGUGGGCCUGGCGCUGGCCGAGCUGGCGGCGGCGCUGCUGCUGUGGCCGGGGAGCUGGCCGGGGCGCCCCGGCCCAGCGCAGCCUGUGGAAAAGGACAAACCGUCUCUGCAUCGGUCGCUCGGCUGAACUGCCCCUACUGGGGGGCCUCUCUGGGCCCAGGCGGUGGGGUCUCCACCUUAUUUGGUGUCUCUUGGGGCCCAGGCAUCUCGUUCAGGCUGCACCCAUCUCGGAGAAAACACGGGAGGCCAGAAGGCCCCGUCCGACUUGGAGAACUGGCUAAAAGCAAGCUGCUAAUGGCAUCCAAAUUAUGUCAACUGAAUUUCCAGUGACCUAAAUCAAUGCUCUCGAGCCUCUCCUGCUGAGACACUCUUCAGUGGAGUUGUGUAGUGAAGGAGGCUGUUGUCUGUAGGACCUCUGCUUCAUUUGUUGCAGAAGAUAGACAGAAGAAGAGAUCAGGAUUUCUGUGCUACUUCCUUCACCUAAGACCCCUUCUGGAUCUCCGGAGAAGAACUUCACUUUCUUUUUGAAAGGGGUUAUUGUCUCCAGUUCCAUCUGAACCAUGUAAGGGUUGGGAUUGGACGAGAGAAGCAGAUCAGAGAGUGGAUUCCGAGAAAAAUGUUGGACAGUUUCAUUCAUACCCACUGGAUCCAGAUGCACAGAAGUAUUUCCAACCAAAUCCAUCACUGUUUUGUUUUUUUUUUUGGCCUGAACAGCAUGUUACCCCCACAGGGUUAGAUGAUCCCAGUGGCCAUCUUCUGCACCUUAUCAAGAAGGAUCUAUGCAUGGGACUAGACCUUCACAGAUUCCAUACCAGGAGGACAUUCAGUUGUCUGAUUCAACUGAUACAGAUAUUUGGGGAUUGUUUGUCCUGUUUUUAUCACUGGGAGUUAAUACUAGACAGGUGGAUCCUGGAAGUUAUUGCAUGUGGUUACACAAUUCAAAUCAAGACCCUUGCCCAUAACAACUCACCCAUUUCAUCUCUGGGCAGAGAGCAAAGUCAUCUCAUUUUGUUAAAGAACUAGGUUUGAUCUCUGCUGCAGUUAGGAACGAUAGAGACAGUUCUGCAAGAUCACAGAGGGAGGGUUGUUACUGGUGUUUUCUAAUUUAAAAAAAUAUGGGGCUUUUGCCCUAUUUUGGAUUUAAGGAAAUUAAAUACUUAUAUAAAGAAAUUUUGUUUCUGCAUGUUAGAGAGAACUUCUAUAAUUCUUUCACUUUAUCUUGAGGAUGGGGUUGUUGCUCUGGAUUUAAAAGAUGAAUGUUUCCAUAAAACAAUGUCAUCUGAAA